UUGCUUUGCUUAUAUGGAUUUAUUUCAGAUAUUUUUCCUUUUCCUACAGCACAGUUUUUACUCAUUACUCCAUUUACUGAGCUGUUCUUUUUUUUAUAGAAAUUUGAAUGGAAAGAGAUUAUUUUGUUGAAGAAAUUCCAUCGAUGGACACCAUAAAGACUCCAUAUCUGAUCUGUGUUGAAGUUUUGGAUUCAUUAACGGCUGACUCCUCAUAAAACACGUCAAAAACAUCGGAGAGCAAAUCUCUUCUUCAAACAAGGUUUUUCAAUCACUCCGACCGUUGUUGGCGUCAACUCCCAUGAGAUCACCAAAUCCGAAUCAAGCUCUGGGUUCGACGUAAUGGGAUUAAUAUCGUGCUCAAUAUCAGUUGACGUGUGGCGGAAGAUUAUUUCUUGCAUUCAUACAAUGAAAGAAUUUCAAAUUGUGACGGAAAGUACGUAAUAUUGGGCUUGAACUGGUAAAGUGCACCUUAACUAUUUUUAAUGCAAUGAAUCGCUGUUUUUUUUUUAUUUGUGAAUUUAAACGCUGAACUUAAAAUUUCUCGGUGCAUUUCAUGAAAUCUUUAUUUUAUCCAAAUUUUCUAAGUUUUUCGAUGCCGUGAAUCUCUAUAGUAGAAACAAUAUCUUUAUAGUUUCCAUAGUUUUAUUCAUUGAAUUAAAGGAUAGGAUAUGACAUCAAGUUUUCGCAUCCUGUUCCUAUUGUUUAGAGAGAGGAGAUGAAAUAUCCGUGCAAUAUUUAACACUUAUUGUUGCAACACGUUUAAAUCAAUUUAACAGGAAAACAGUUUCUUUAUCGCUUUAGUAGAAUUAGAAUGGAACAAAAUUCAAUUAUACCAUAAAUUAGAACAAAUUAGAAAUGUUUCACGUGCAUUCUUUAAAUACCACAGACUGGAAUCGUAUCAUGUCAUGUACCCUUUGUUACCCUAUUGUAUGUGUAUUUUCCCCGAGCUCCACGACGUAUUUCGCGUAAAGAAGUUCGCAACAGUAAAUAUAAAAAAUAAGAAAAUAAUAAAACACAACAUGAUGACAUAAUGACUUAUGCUAGUGCCAAUCUCCAACCAACUUCCAUAAUCACGCACGAAAUAGAAGAACUGCAACGCCAUCAAGUCCGUCAUUAUCAACACGAACAGGAACAAACGAUUGACUGGCACCCUACAAACCACGUGAACAGCAUCGAAGACGCACGUGACAGUAACGAACGGAAUGAGGAUUUUCAGGAUCAACAACGCACCCAUAAUGAAUGGUGAAAAAACUGUGAGAAAACAAUAGACAGUCGCUGGAUCAAAAGUAUUAAUGCUUGCGAUAUUUCCUGUGCCAAAGAAUGCUGUUAUUAUGAAGUAGACGAAGAAGAAAGAAGAACGUAGGUCAUCCAUACUCACUUCCCUUGCAUGGCCUUCAAAUGGUUCAUUUACUGUAACAUUAACCAAUGAAAUGAAAUUGUUGCCAGUUGAUAGUUGAUAUUCCAACGUUAACCACAGUGCCAUAGCUGAUGAUAGGACAACGAAAAAUAAUGCUUCGUACGAUGUGCACAGUAGUACAUACACGGACAUCAAGGAUAUGUUGGUACUUAAUAGUCGCAAAACUAGAGAGUCUAUUACCAUUGGUGGUAGAACAAUACAACAAAAGAGUGUUGACCAACUGAAUAUGGAAUUGAGUAUUGGUAGGCCAAGCUUUAAUGAUAUAUUGUACCUGCUGUGAUUGAGAAUAAGUAUGGCUAAAAUCAAAAUCAAAAACUGUAUACUAAAGACUUUCUUUGUCCUUGUUGUUAGAGUUCCUUUGUUCUUCUUGUAAGCUAAUAUAAUUAAAAUUGCUUCUAUUGCUGAAA
This is a long non-coding RNA of Xenia sp. Carnegie-2017, 1824 nucleotides long. RefSeq lists it as uncharacterized. The record is from RefSeq and is a predicted model, not a curated record. Lineage: Eukaryota; Metazoa; Cnidaria; Anthozoa; Malacalcyonacea; Xeniidae. The transcript is spliced from 5 exons.